CAGCGGAGCUCGGGUUCGCUCGUAGAACGAGAAAUACGAAUAUUUCGACGCAUGCGUUGAUCGCGAUCGUUUUCAACAGAAUCGCACGGUACGAGUGGUAAGCAUUGAAACAGCGCGAAGUGCAUUAUUUUUUCGACGGUGAAAAAUAAGAAAUAAAAAUGGAAAAAAUUCGCAAUCGAAUGGACCGAAGUAAAAUAUUGUCGAGGCACAAUGGACGUGCACAUUGAUUGUGUAACUAUACCGAUGAUAGAGGUUUCUAUUCUUGUUUUGGGUCGAUAUCAACGUUGUGUAAAAUAUAGGGCAUUUCAAGCGAUAAGAAAAUUGAAAAAAAAAUUACAAGUUCGAACCCUGAGAGUUUUAGUUCAAAGUUGAGACUGUUCCAGGUGAUCGUGGUGUGUCCAGUUGGAAUUAUUAUUGUCAUUGUGGGGUCCCAGGUGAGACCUCCCGGGCAGUCCUCUUCCGUGAGGGAGUCGCAUUCGAGGGGUGAACAAACGCAGGAUAAUGCCCUGGCGACGGCGACAGACAGGACGACAAUACCGCCGAGAAGGACUAGAGGGACUUUCAUGUUUUGCGGUGAGUUUGGUGGGGGAUAUUUUUUCUUUCUCUCUCUCUCUCUCUCUACCUUUCCUCUCUAUUUUUUAUUUUCUAUUUCCCUCCGUAU
This 661-nucleotide unclassified non-coding RNA is filed under the name Athalia rosae (coleseed sawfly). RNAcentral's name for it is "misc RNA ENSAEAG00005008625.1". Lineage: Eukaryota; Metazoa; Arthropoda; Insecta; Hymenoptera; Athaliidae. The record is from RNAcentral.